GGCUUAGGACGAACGGCUGGCGGCGUGCCUAAUACAUGCAAGUCGAACGGUCUUUCUAUGGAAGCUUGCUUCCACUGAGAAGAUAGUGGCGAACGGGUGAGUAACACGUGGGUAACCUGCCCAUAAGAGGGGGGAUAACAUCCGGAAACGGGUGCUAAUACCGCAUAGUUUCUUGAUCGCAUGAUCGGGAAAGGAAAGACGGCCUUUGUGCUGUCGCUUAUGGAUGGACCCGCGGCGUAUUAGUUAGUUGGUGAGGUAACGGCUCACCAAGACGAUGAUACGUAGCCGACCUGAGAGGGUGAUCGGCCACAUUGGGACUGAGACACGGCCCAAACUCCUACGGGAGGCAGCAGUAGGGAAUCUUCCGCAAUGGACGAAAGUCUGACGGAGCAACGCCGCGUGAGUGAAGAAAGGUUUUCGGAUCGUAAAACUCUGUUGUCAGAGAAGAACAAGUUGGAGAGUAACUGCUCCAGCCUUGACGGUAUCUGACCAGAAAGCCACGGCUAACUACGUGCCAGCCGCCGC
This 525-nucleotide ribosomal RNA is filed under the name uncultured bacterium. RNAcentral's name for it is "bacterial SSU rRNA". It matches the Rfam family "Bacterial small subunit ribosomal RNA", at positions 21 to 518 of the family's 1533-position model. The record is from RNAcentral.